RNAcentral lists this ribosomal RNA (492 nucleotides) under uncultured bacterium. RNAcentral's name for it is "partial 16S ribosomal RNA". It matches the Rfam family "Bacterial small subunit ribosomal RNA", at positions 29 to 507 of the family's 1533-position model. The record is from RNAcentral.
AGUGAACGCUGGCGGUAGGCCUAACACAUGCAAGUCGAACGGCAGCACAGUAAGAGCUUGCUCUUACGGGUGGCGAGUGGCGGACGGGUGAGGAAUACAUCGGAAUCUACUUUUUCGUGGGGGAUAACGUAGGGAAACUUACGCUACUACCGCAUACUACCUACGGCUGAAAGCAGGGGAUCUUCGCACCUUGCCCGAUUUAAUGAGCCGAUGUCGCAUUAGCUAGUUGGUGAGGUAAAGGCCCACCAAGGCAACGAACCGUAGCUGAUCAGAGAGAAUGAUAGGCGACACUGGAACUGAGAAACGGACCAGACUCCGACGGGAGGCAGCAGGAGGGAAUCUGCCGCAAUGGGCGAAAGACUGACGGAGAAACGCGGCGUGAGUGAUGAAGGUCUUCGGAUCGUAAAACUCUGUUAUUAGGAAAGAACAUAUGUGUAAGUAACUGUGCACAUCUUGACGGUACCUAAUGAGAAAGCCACGGCUAACUACGUG